AGGCGACAGAAGAGAGUGAGCACACAUGGUUCCUUUUUCUAGCAUGCUCAUGCUCGAAAGCUCUGCGUGCUUACUCUCUUCUUGUCUCCU
This 90-nucleotide microRNA precursor is filed under the name Camelina sativa (false flax). Its description in RNAcentral is "miR156g stem-loop (cas-MIR156g)". Its record names the gene cas-MIR156g. It matches the Rfam family "mir-156 microRNA precursor family". Rfam says of the family: This family represents the plant microRNA (miRNA) precursor mir-156. Animal miRNAs are transcribed as ~70nt precursors and subsequently processed by the Dicer enzyme to give a ~22nt product. Lineage: Eukaryota; Viridiplantae; Streptophyta; Magnoliopsida; Brassicales; Brassicaceae. The record is from miRBase by way of RNAcentral.